RNAcentral lists this ribosomal RNA (477 nucleotides) under Streptococcus sp. oral taxon 066. Its description in RNAcentral is "bacterial SSU rRNA". It matches the Rfam family "Bacterial small subunit ribosomal RNA", at positions 28 to 489 of the family's 1533-position model. The record is from RNAcentral. Lineage: Bacteria; Bacillati; Bacillota; Bacilli; Lactobacillales; Streptococcaceae.
GAUGAACGCUGGCGGCGUGCCUAAUACAUGCAAGUAGAACGCUGAAGCUUGGUGCUUGCACCGAGCGGAUGAGUUGCGAACGGGUGAGUAACGCGUAGGUAACCUGCCUGGUAGCGGGGGAUAACUAUUGGAAACGAUAGCUAAUACCGCAUAACAGUCGACAUUGCAUGAUGUUGAUUUGAAAGGGGCAAUUGCUCCACUACCAGAUGGACCUGCGUUGUAUUAGCUAGUUGGUGAGGUAACGGCUCACCAAGGCGACGAUACAUAGCCGACCUGAGGGGGUGAUCGGCCACACUGGGACUGAGACACGGCCCAGACUCCUACGGGAGGCAGCAGUAGGGAAUCUUCGGCAAUGGACGGAAGUCUGACCGAGCAACGCCGCGUGAGUGAAGAAGGUUUUCGGAUCGUAAAGCUCUGUUGUAAGAGAAGAACGAGUGUGAGAGUGGAAAGUUCACACUGUGACGGAACUACCAGAAA